AGGCCAGUAGCUCAAUAGGCAGAGCGGCGGUCUCCAAAACCGCAGGUUGGGGGUUCGAUUCCCUCCUGGCCUG
Molecule: transfer RNA, 73 nt
Filed under: Nitrosococcus halophilus Nc 4
Lineage: Bacteria; Pseudomonadati; Pseudomonadota; Gammaproteobacteria; Chromatiales; Chromatiaceae
Also listed under: 1 other name
Description: Nitrosococcus halophilus Nc4 tRNA
Rfam family: tRNA
About the family: Transfer RNA (tRNA) molecules are approximately 80 nucleotides in length. Their secondary structure includes four short double-helical elements and three loops (D, anti-codon, and T loops).
Source: Rfam by way of RNAcentral